UAGGGAAUCUUCGGCAAUGGACGAAAGUCUGACCGAGCAACGCCGCGUGAGUGAAGAAGGUUUUCGGAUCGUAAAACUCUGUUGUUAGAGAAGAACAAGGACGUUAGUAACUGAACGUCCCCUGACGGUAUCUAACCAGAAAGCCACGGCUAACUACGUGCCAGCAGCCGCGGUAAUACGUAGGUGGCAAGCGUUGUCCGGAUUUAUUGGGCGUAAAGCGAGCGCAGGCGGUUUCUUAAGUCUGAUGUGAAAGCCCCCGGCUCAACCGGGGAGGGUCAUUGGAAACUGGGAGACUUGAGUGCAGAAGAGGAGGGUGGAAUUCCAUGUGUAGCGGUGAAAUGCGUAGAUAUAUGGAGGAACACCAGUGGCGAAGGCGGCUCUCUGGUCUGUAACUGACGCUGAGGCUCGAAGGCGUGGGGAGCAAACAGG
Molecule: ribosomal RNA, 429 nt
Filed under: Chloroflexota bacterium
Lineage: Bacteria; Bacillati; Chloroflexota
Description: Chloroflexi bacterium partial 16S ribosomal RNA
Rfam family: Bacterial small subunit ribosomal RNA
Source: RNAcentral